Parasteatoda tepidariorum (common house spider) is the source of this 794-nucleotide non-coding RNA. The record is from RefSeq and is a predicted model, not a curated record. Lineage: Eukaryota; Metazoa; Arthropoda; Arachnida; Araneae; Theridiidae.
UACAGUGUUUCAAUUUUAAUCUAAUUCCCUAAAUUAUACCUUUUCAUCUCAAAUACUAAUUUUAUUUUCUUAAAUUAAAAUAAAAAUUAAUUAUUGUAAAUAUCUGAAUAUCUCUUUAUAGUGUUUUUGUUUCAUAUUAUAAUUUUAAGUCUUUUUAUGGUAAGUCUAAAAUAGGGCGCACUUAUAAAUCUUGCACGGAGGGGCACCUAAGUCAAUGUACCCAACUGGGUUUGAUAUAGAUGGGGUUUUUGAUACUUGACAUUCUGUGAGCUUAUGCUUGAGUGCUUGUCUAAUUUAUCCUAUAUAUGACACCUCACAUCAUUCAUAAAUGUAUUUUAUGUGGGUUGACUUGAAUUUUUGGGAGCAUUACUACAUCAACAAAAACUCUAUAAAUGAUCUUGUUGCUAUACUAUAACUGUCAAAUGUUUGGAAAUCAUUAAUUCUUUAAAAUUGUAAUUUUCUGUUAAUUUAAUGUUUUAUUUUUCUUUUAGUAUGCCGUUAACCUCUGUCGGAUUUAAAUCAUCUCUUUAUCACCAUCCCUGUCAUUUAUCCAACUGAUGAAAGUGCACAUUUGUAACACAGAAAUUCAUAUAGGUUAACCCAAAGAUCGCCCAAUGGCUCACAAGGAAGAACAGAAGUGGAAUGAUUUGGAAAGUAUACCAGGACAAUAAACGUGAAAAUGGACCCCAUUUUAAAGAAAACAGAAUUUAUUAACUGCAUAGUCUUAAGGAGAAAUGUAACUUAUUUGGUACGGAUUAAUAGAGUUACAUAAUUAAAUGUGAUUUAAUUUUCUU